GACGAACGCUGGCGGCGUGGAUUAGGCAUGCAAGUCGAACGGUAUCAUCCUUUCGGGGGUGAGAGAGUGGCGAACUGGUGAGUAACACGUAGGUUAUCUACCCUCAAGACGGGGACAACCCAGGGAAACUUGGGCUAAUACCGGAUGUGAGCAACUUUUAGUUGUUUGAAAGGUGGCGUAAGCUGUCGCUUGGGGAUGAGCCUGCGUCCUAUUAGUUAGUUGGUGAGGUAACGGCUCACCUAGGCAAUGAUAGGUAGGCGGCCUUAACGGGUGGUCGCCCACACUGGGAUUGAGAUACGGCCCAGACUCCUACGGGAGGCAGCAGUCCGAGAAUAGUCUACAAUGGUCGGAAGACUGAUAGUGCGACGCCGCGUGAACGAUGAAUCCCUUCGGGUGUAAAGUUCUUUUAUAUGUGAGCAGUGCUUCUUAUAUUAACAGUAUGGGGAGAGAGAUAUUAGCAUAUGAAUAAGCAACGGCUAACUCCGUGCCAGCAGCCGCGGUAAUA
RNAcentral lists this ribosomal RNA (505 nucleotides) under uncultured bacterium. RNAcentral's name for it is "bacterial SSU rRNA". It matches the Rfam family "Bacterial small subunit ribosomal RNA", at positions 28 to 525 of the family's 1533-position model. The record is from RNAcentral.